Long non-coding RNA from Cynoglossus semilaevis (tongue sole), 641 nucleotides. RefSeq lists it as uncharacterized. NCBI's taxonomy places the organism in Eukaryota, Metazoa, Chordata, Actinopteri, Pleuronectiformes, Cynoglossidae. The record is from RefSeq and is a predicted model, not a curated record. The transcript has 5 exons.
AAAAACAAACAAACACGGCUGGCUUCAUCAACAAGUUCACAAGCUGUGCUUAUCGUGCGUCCCCUCCAGUUGAUAUCGAAAUGGCGAGAAAGUGGAAGGAGACGGCUGUGAACACGUGACUACACAAAACACUGGACGUCUGGUUGCAGUCAAACAUCCUCUCACCGGAAGAGGCGGAAAGACGCCAUUACUGGUGUCAUCCAGCUGGUAGUAGGCGAUAGCUGUGUCCAGAUCUGGUGGGUCCUCGCCCGUCUCUGGUGGGAAACCAAACUGACAGUCUUUAUUGAGGGGCGCCAUCAGCUGUCUGCGGCUCCGCCUGCACAAGACACAGCAGCCUGCGGUGUCCUGCCACACGUCAAACUCCAGGUUCCUGUACACGUCUGGAUCCAGAGACUUGAUGACUUUAUACGGCAGAGACAGUUUGGUGGGGAGCACAGCUUCUGAGGGCUGGACCACAGAGACACGUUGUUAGCUGAUCAGUCCACUGACACGGACCAACAGCAUCGUCCACCCAUGCGGGCACUCUCCAUGGCCUGAUAAAGCUCCGCCUCCUCCACGUUGAACACCUGUGUGUAGAUCACCUCAUACAACAGAGCUGAGUGUACACACACACACACACACACACACAGACAUAAACGAAU